Molecule: ribosomal RNA, 589 nt
Filed under: Eidophelus incultus
Lineage: Eukaryota; Metazoa; Arthropoda; Insecta; Coleoptera; Curculionidae
Description: Scolytogenes incultus partial large subunit ribosomal RNA
Rfam family: Eukaryotic large subunit ribosomal RNA
Source: RNAcentral
UGAAACCGUUUAGGGGUAAACCUGAGAAACCCGAAAGGUCGAAGGGAGAAAUUCAUUCGCGUUUCGAGACAGGCGUCGAACGGGUUAUCGUUGACGGAAGGCGUUUCGACGUUUUCCGCUCGUCUCGUUCGACGAUCCGGUUUCGAACGCGUGCACUUUUCUCCUGGUAGGACGUCGCGAUCCGUUGGGUGUCGGUCUACGGUUUCGGGUGGAGCCCGUCCGUUACACGUUUAACGGGCGGACCUCGGAUACCCGACCGACUCGCUCGACGGUAUAUAUGAAAGGUUCGAGGCCGCUCUCGGAGCGUCCGAUUCGCGGCAAGCCCGUCAGUUUUUGUGUUGGCGAUCGGACCCGGUGCCGAUUCUGACCGCUGUCGACUGUUGGCCGCGUUUCUCUCGGACAGACCUCGUAACCGAUCGGCGACGCUAUAGCUUUGGGUACUUUCAGGACCCGUCUUGAAACACGGACCAAGGAGUCUAGCAUGUGCGCGAGUCAUUGGGAAUCACUAAACCUAAAGGCGCAAUGAAAGUAAAGGUCUUCCUUGCGGAGACCGAGGGAAGACGGGCGUGUAUUAUCGGCCUUAAAACCG